Molecule: ribosomal RNA, 429 nt
Filed under: Bacteroidota bacterium
Lineage: Bacteria; Pseudomonadati; Bacteroidota
Description: Bacteroidetes bacterium partial 16S ribosomal RNA
Rfam family: Bacterial small subunit ribosomal RNA
Source: RNAcentral
UAGGGAAUCUUCGGCAAUGGGGGGAACCCUGACCGAGCAACGCCGCGUGAGUGAAGAAGGUUUUCGGAUCGUAAAGCUCUGUUGUUAAGGAAGAACGAGUGUGAGAAUGGAAAGUUCAUACUGUGACGGUACUUAACCAGAAAGGGACGGCUAACUACGUGCCAGCAGCCGCGGUAAUACGUAGGUCCCGAGCGUUGUCCGGAUUCAUUGGGCGUAAAGCGAGCGCAGGCGGUUAGAAAAGUCUGAAGUGAAAGGCAGUGGCUCAACCAUUGUAGGCUUUGGAAACUGUUUAACUUGAGUGCAGAAGGGGAGAGUGGAAUUCCAUGUGUAGCGGUGAAAUGCGUAGAUAUAUGGAGGAACACCGGUGGCGAAAGCGGCUCUCUGGUCUGUAACUGACGAUGAGGCUCGAAAGCGUGGGGAGCGAACAGG